UAAGACAGAGGUGGCGAGCGUUGUUCGGAAUUACUGGGCUUAAAGGGCGCGUAGGCGGUGGGACAAGUCUGAGGUGGAAUCCGGAGGCUUAACCUCCGAACUGCCUUGGAAACUGUACUGCUUGAGUUAGACAGGGGAAGGCGGAAUUCCUGGUGUAGCGGUGAAAUGCGUAGAUAUCAGGAGGAAGGCCUGUGGCGAAGGCGGCCUUCUGGGUCUUAACUGACGCUGAGGCGCGAAAGCGUGGGGAGCAAACAGGAUUAGAUACCCUGGUAGUCCACGCCCUAAACGGUGGGCACUAGGUGUGGGAUUCGUAAGGGUUCCGUGCCGAAGGGAAACCAUUAAGUGCCCCGCCUGGGGAGUACGGCCGCAAGGUUGAAACUUAAAGGAAUUGACGG
RNAcentral lists this ribosomal RNA (395 nucleotides) under uncultured bacterium. RNAcentral's name for it is "bacterial SSU rRNA". It matches the Rfam family "Bacterial small subunit ribosomal RNA", at positions 521 to 916 of the family's 1533-position model. The record is from RNAcentral.